CCCAGGCUUUUAUUUUGUUACACUCCACCUUGUUUUAUAAGUCCCUUAUAAAUCUGGUUUUUUUGCUGGACUCUUCGUUCCUGGAUGGCAGGGCCAGCUUUUACCCUUGUUUACAUCUUUCACAGGGCUGUGCCCAGAAAGGCACUCAAUAAAUAUUUGUUGAACUGAAUUCUAUUUUCAACAUAUUGGACGAGUGUGGCAAAUAUUACAUGGAGUAAUUAAACUCAACUGAGGUUUCUGUAAAUUUAAAUUUUAGUUGAAUCCUCAGCCUCUUUGACUUAUAAGUGACUCGGGACACUAUGAUUCUGUGUAGAACCUGUGAAAUAUCUAACUAACUGGAGAAGACUUCCUACCUUGAAAGAAAGAAAAAUAUCAAAUCAUGGUAUCUGACUCCCACUUGGAAAUCUAGAGGACAAGAGAUGAGCCAACGAAUCUUUUCCACGGGGAUGUGAAGGAAGUGGGCUGUGCUGAGAUGAGGCAGCAGGCCCAGAGUCCUGGAACAAAGAAUAUGUGAGUGUGGGUCUAGGACCUGGAGGAGGCCACGCAUGAGAAGCCAGCACAGAGCUGAGCGGGCAGAGAGCUGUUGUAAGUCCUGUAAGAGGGGUGUCUAGAUGAUGACUCACACCUUGGUGGACGCUGACGCUUCUGGUGGAUGCACAGGGUCUGAAGGAUGAGUAAGUGAUCACCCUAAGCAGGGCAGCAUUUGCCCUUCUCAAGGGGAAGUGUGGUUGAAAGACUUUCAUUGAUUUGAGGGGUGGGGGUAGAGAUGAGGGUUUUCUAAGAGCCCAUGAGAGGGCCCGUGGUAGAAUGACCUGGCUUUGCCCACCUGCCAAGUCCAGAGAGGGGGAGCUGGAUCACCAGGGGAUUGUCGAGUGAAUGAGGACUUUCCUGCGCCUUUUUCUCACUCCCUUCCAUCAUGCCCUGUUUGGAAGGGAUUCAGAACCCCAAAGUUAGCCAAAUGAGGACAGAGGAACAGAGGAACAGAAAUCCUGCAAGAAAAGAGUGGAGAAGCCAGCCUUACACUCCUUCCCUAAUAACAGGGAGGGCUUUGAUAUGGGACGUCUUCAUGAUUCCAAUGUGACAGUGUUUGGUGACAUAAAGUAAAAGUCUUCAUUAUCUAAAUGUAACAGAAGAUUUCACGGAGGCUGCCAAUCACUGUAAAGAGAAGAGCUUGCCCCAGUGAAUCAAUUUAAAGGGACAGUGAGGGUCAAAAAUAAAGAUGCUCGACAAUUACCUCAACUGUCACAACUGACAUUCAGCAGAAACAACAGAUACACCCAAAGUAUGCUGACCCAACCCAGGCAGGAGCCUGAGUCGCAGCUCAACAGAGCUUCAAGAGGUCCGGUGACCCCCAUGCUUCCCAGAGAAGCCCGGAGCCCACUCUAGGUCACCCACAAGCAUGUUUAACUCCAUGGUUUUCCUGUGGCAGUUUACCCCAUGCAACCUGCAGCCUCACAGACUCAGCAGUCUCUCCCAGUCCCAAGCUCAGGGCCUGACGAAGCAGGAUGCUCACACUGCAGCCUGGCCCAAGCUCAAGAAGCAGGACUGAAGCCACCCACUGCUGGGUUCCCAAUCCCUCGUCAUGCCGGCACCUGCAGUCGUCUUCUGCCACGUUUCCUGCUUUGCUCCUGCAGCGCAACUGCUAGUACUACUCACAGGUCCCUCAACACAAGAUGUAUUUCCUGCUAGACUCCAUUCUCCACAAAGCCCAGAACUUGGCAGUCUUUUUUGCUCCUGUGUCCCCAGUACACAUCGCACAGCCUGGGAGACAGCACCAACUUCCUCUAUUGGUCAGACUUGGCGUGACGUGGAAGAAGCCUGGAACGGGGCAGAGGAACAUCUCCAGAGAGGCUAACCUCCUGAGUUCCACUCCCCUGCAGUCAUACCCCACACUAACUUCUGUGAAGUGGUCACUGCUUCGGAGAACUUUUGUCCUUCCUUAAAGAGAUAGUAUCCAGGACCGAACACAAACCUAGAUCCUCCAGUCCUCAGUCCAGUGACUGCUUUUGUGUAACUGGGAACGACUUGUCCUCAUGCACCUUAGUGUGGAGAGUCCUCCCCACUGCUCAGCAUUGCCUGCUGUGGAACAUUGACCAUGCAGCUCGUUACACAGAAAUUAUUGAACUGCUUGCCUGUCUCCCCUGCAGGCUGUAAGUCCAUCGAGGGCAGAAAUCAUGUUCUAUUUGAUGUUGUAUCGCCAAAGCCCAGCAGGCUGUGUAUGCGUAGAAUUAGUGAGUGUUUGAUAACAUUUUUAAUUACUGCAUAAUUAAAUGAGUAAACCGCUAAGUAAAUGAUGGAG
This 2299-nucleotide long non-coding RNA is filed under the name Equus caballus (horse). RNAcentral's name for it is "lncRNA (ENSECAG00000056740.1)". Lineage: Eukaryota; Metazoa; Chordata; Mammalia; Perissodactyla; Equidae. The record is from RNAcentral.